ACGGGUGAGUAACACGUGACUAACCUACCCUUGAGUGGGGGAUAACCUAGAGAAAUCUGGGCUAAUACCGCAUAAUACCUUCGGGUCAAAGGAGCAAUUCGCUUAAGGAGGGGGUCGCGGCCGAUUAGUUAGUUGGCGGGGUAAUGGCCCACCAAGACUGUGAUCGGUAUCCGGCCUGAGAGGGCGCACGGACACACUGGAACUGAAACACGGUCCAGACUCCUACGGGAGGCAGCAGUGGGGAAUUUUGCGCAAUGGGGGAAACCCUGACGCAGCAACGCCGCGUGGAGGAUGAAGUCCCUUGGGACGUAAACUCCUUUCGAUCGGGACGAUAAUGACGGUACCGAGAGAAGAAGCCCCGGCUAACUUCGUGCCAGCAGCCGCGG
This 386-nucleotide ribosomal RNA is filed under the name uncultured bacterium. RNAcentral describes it as "bacterial SSU rRNA". It matches the Rfam family "Bacterial small subunit ribosomal RNA", at positions 102 to 520 of the family's 1533-position model. The record is from RNAcentral.